UACGAAGGGGGCUAGCGUUACUCGGAAUGACUGGGCGUAAAGGGCGCGUAGGCGGUUUGUUUAGUUAGGCGUGAAAUUCCUGGGCUCAACCUGGGGGCUGCGCUUAAUACAGGCAGACUAGAGUGUGAAAGAGGGUCGUGGAAUUCCCAGUGUAGAGGUGAAAUUCGUAGAUAUUGGGAAGAACACCGGUGGCGAAGGCGGCGACCUGGUUCAUUACUGACGCUGAGGCGCGAAAGCGUGGGGAGCAAACAGG
This 253-nucleotide ribosomal RNA is filed under the name uncultured bacterium. RNAcentral describes it as "partial 16S ribosomal RNA". It matches the Rfam family "Bacterial small subunit ribosomal RNA", at positions 524 to 776 of the family's 1533-position model. The record is from RNAcentral.